This 233-nucleotide ribosomal RNA is filed under the name uncultured bacterium. Its description in RNAcentral is "partial 16S ribosomal RNA". It matches the Rfam family "Bacterial small subunit ribosomal RNA", at positions 118 to 348 of the family's 1533-position model. The record is from RNAcentral.
UGAGGAACAUGACCUUCGGCGGGGGAUAGCCGGCCCAACGGCCGGGUAAUACCGCGUACGACCACAUGGGGACACUCCCUGAGUGGUGAAAGCAGCAAUGCGCCGAAAGAGCGCCUCGCGGCCUAUCAGCUAGUUGGUGGGGUAAUGGCUCACCAAGGCGACGACGGGUAGCUGGUCUGAGAGGACGAUCAGCCACACUGGGACUGAGACACGGCCCAGACUCCGUAGGGAGG